This 72-nucleotide microRNA precursor is filed under the name Medicago truncatula (barrel medic). RNAcentral's name for it is "MIR2629 microRNA precursor family". It matches the Rfam family "MIR2629 microRNA precursor family". The record is from Rfam by way of RNAcentral. Lineage: Eukaryota; Viridiplantae; Streptophyta; Magnoliopsida; Fabales; Fabaceae.
GUUUGAGGUUUUCCUCGACAGUUAACUGCUGCCGGUUUACUAAAACUUCGACAGUUAACUGCCAAAGAACAU